AGUAAAAUUAAUAAAAAUCACAGUGCUUGAUUAAYCCAGAAGUGAAAGUAGAAGUCUAGUAGGUUGUAUYAAUACCUUUUGCAUAAUGGUUUCACUAGGAGAAAAGCAAAGGCACCAGCCCGAACUGAGAGGAUCUAGACAAGGUUAGGUGUUAGCUAACAGAAACUUGUGUGGCAAUACGAGAACGAAAAACCUYGUCUAGGGGCGAAAAACCUGCAACUCUCAAGAUAGCUGGAUCCUGGACAAACGUAUUUAGUACGGCAGACAACCAAAAAGUGUCGAGAUUUUUUGGUCAGAGUAUYUUAUAUUGUUUUAGUCGGCUGAAGGGCAAACAACUCAGCUAGCAACAGGCCCCAGUAACUAAUUUUUUUUCCGAUCUCUACCUUAUUCAGGCAUUUCGGUAACUAGUCCCCYAAAAGAUAAUGUGAAAAUGAGUAGUAAUAUGUAAUAACACCAAGGAACUCGGCAAAUGCAUCCCUCACCUGUUUAGCAAAAACAUAGCCCAGGGUAACGCUCCUGGGUAGGUCCUGCCCGGUGAUAAGUUUAACGGCCGCAGUACCCUGACUGUGCUAAGGUAGCGUAAUCAGUUGGCUUUUAAUUGGAGUCGAGAAUGAAUGGGCUUAUGGGGGAGAGCUGUCUCGCUAUUUAUUGUUUUGAAGUUACUAACAGGGUGAAAAAGCCCUGCAGCAGAAAAAAGACGAGAAGACCCUUAGAGUCUUAAUAAAUUUACUGUUCGUAGUAAUGUGUUUUUGUUGGGGCGACAUUGAGGCACCAAACCCUCAAAUAAUAAAAAUAACUAGACGCAAUUAAGAAGCAAGAAAAGACUACCUUAGGGAUAACAGCAUAAUUUUAAUAUAAGUUUGUGACCUCGAUGUUGGACUAGGAACUUUACGACUAGCCGUCGAAAGAGAAGGUUCUGUUCGAACCYGGCCUCCUACAUGAUCUGAGUUCAGACCGGCGCAAGCCAGGUCAGAUUCUAUCUUUUUYGAUGUUUUUUCAGUACGAAAGGACCAAGAAGCAGCAACAUGUGCAUCAUA
This 1037-nucleotide ribosomal RNA is filed under the name Leucophytia bidentata (two-toothed white snail). RNAcentral describes it as "Auriculinella bidentata (two-toothed white snail) 16S ribosomal RNA". It matches the Rfam family "Bacterial large subunit ribosomal RNA", at positions 507 to 2721 of the family's 2925-position model. The record is from RNAcentral. Lineage: Eukaryota; Metazoa; Mollusca; Gastropoda; Ellobiida; Ellobiidae.